Molecule: transfer RNA, 64 nt
Filed under: Poekilocerus bufonius
Lineage: Eukaryota; Metazoa; Arthropoda; Insecta; Orthoptera; Pyrgomorphidae
Description: tRNA-Tyr
Rfam family: tRNA
About the family: Transfer RNA (tRNA) molecules are approximately 80 nucleotides in length. Their secondary structure includes four short double-helical elements and three loops (D, anti-codon, and T loops).
Source: RNAcentral
GGUGAAGUGGCUGAUAAAGGUGAUAGACUGUAAAUCUAUUAAUGAGGGAGUACCUCCUUCACCA